RNAcentral lists this ribosomal RNA (450 nucleotides) under uncultured bacterium. Its description in RNAcentral is "partial 16S ribosomal RNA". It matches the Rfam family "Bacterial small subunit ribosomal RNA", at positions 354 to 796 of the family's 1533-position model. The record is from RNAcentral.
GUGAGGAAUUUUGCGCAAUGGCCGCAAGGCUGACGCAGCAACGCCGCGUGGGUGAUGAAGGCCUUCGGGUCGUAAAGCCCUGUCAGGUGGGAAGAAAGGCCUGGAGAGGAAAGGUUUCAGGUUUGACGGUACCACCAGAGGAAGCACCGGCUAACUCCGUGCCAGCAGCCGCGGUAAUACGGAGGGUGCGAGCGUUAUUCGGAAUUACUGGGCGUAAAGCGCGUGUAGGCGGGGGGACAAGUCUGAUGUGAAAGCCCUGGGCUUAACCUGGGAAGUGCAUUGGAAACUGUUUUUCUUGAGUACUGGAGAGGAAGGGGGAAUUCCCGGUGUAGAGGUGAAAUUCGUAGAGAUCGGGAGGAAUACCAGUGGCGUAGGCGCCCUUCUGGACGGUAACUGACGCUGAGACGCGAAAGCGUGGGGAGCAAACAGGAUUAGAUACCCUAGUAGUCC